AGAUUUUCUUAUUAUAGAAAGUAAACAACGACAAUAGUUUUGUUUCUUAAUUCUAAUGGCGAAGAACGAGAACAUUUUCUUAGAAGAAGGAUUAUGGACGCAUCAAAUCCGUUUGAGUUUGACGGUUUAAAAUUUGUAAGGAACUUUCGCCUCAAUAAACGGGAAUUUAAAUAUGUCUUGGAUGAGCUUUCCAUCGAGAUACAGGGGGGAACUUCUUUGUCCAUACCGUAGCACCGUCUUUACAUGGAGGCUCAUGGCUAUUGAGCUUCACGGCAGCAUCUCUCCAAAACCGGUCAACAUCUAUACGGUUUAUCAGGAUUUCUUUUUGUUCCCUAUUUGUCCAAUUUGAAUAUGACUGUGCCCUUUAUGAAAUAACAAAAAAAAACUCGUCAAUAUAACCAAUUUCGUUUAAUUAUCGUAUAAAAAUUGUUAAAACUUACAUCUUUCUUCAGCUAUUCACCAGAAAAUAUCUGAACGACACAAAAAUGACAUUUGGUUCGAAUCAUUCGAAAGUCAAAAUUUACUUAUUUUUUUUUUAAUGAACUUUCGAUUGAAUCAGCAAACUUUCGAAUCGAUCGAAUCUCAAAAUAAAAUCUUCUCGAAUUCGAAUAACUUUCGAUCGAAAACGAAUCUCAAAAUAAGGGUGA
This is a long non-coding RNA of Eupeodes corollae, 647 nucleotides long. RefSeq lists it as uncharacterized. The record is from RefSeq and is a predicted model, not a curated record. The transcript has 2 exons. NCBI's taxonomy places the organism in Eukaryota, Metazoa, Arthropoda, Insecta, Diptera, Syrphidae.